AUGGGGAUAGAUUCAGGCCUGAAAAGGUUGCAGUCUCUCUCCUUUGCUUUACUGCAUAGGUCAUUUUUUAUUAGAGGUUCCAGCUCUACACAGUACCUAUGCAAGUGCCUAAUCAGGAUACAUGUCACUGUUGAAACGCAAAACAAAAAACCACAACAACCAUUGAACACAAACAAGAGAAGAGGAGAAAUCUUACACUUCGAUGAAAUAGAUAAUACACAUGCAUUAGUUACCUCACACUUGCUGAGCUUGAAGAAUUUGAUGAAGAUGAUGUCAGUGUACAUUGUACUUAUGGGAUUCCUUUGCAUCCAUGGACGCGCCAAAAAAGCUGCACAUAUUAAGGAAAAAAAGUGUUUGAUGACAACAAGUUAA
Molecule: ribosomal RNA, 372 nt
Filed under: Triticum aestivum (bread wheat)
Lineage: Eukaryota; Viridiplantae; Streptophyta; Magnoliopsida; Poales; Poaceae
Description: partial small subunit ribosomal RNA
Source: RNAcentral